GGCACUCAAGGUCCCCUAGAGAACACGUACCCUGACUUCUGGCGCAUGGUUUGGGAGCAGAACGUGCUGGUGAUUGUCAUGACCACAAGAGCAGCUUGAUGCAGGAUUCAAUCAGGGCAUUCCCAAGCCACGUUUGAGAGAGCCCGUGCCAUUGCAGAAAGAAAAAAUAAAAGGAUAUAUGAGAAGUCAAGAUUCUCUGGGAAAGACAAUGGUACAGAAAAAAAGUGG
Pogona vitticeps (central bearded dragon) is the source of this 228-nucleotide non-coding RNA. The record is from RefSeq and is a predicted model, not a curated record. NCBI's taxonomy places the organism in Eukaryota, Metazoa, Chordata, Lepidosauria, Squamata, Agamidae.